Molecule: transfer RNA, 68 nt
Filed under: Loxodonta africana (African savanna elephant)
Lineage: Eukaryota; Metazoa; Chordata; Mammalia; Proboscidea; Elephantidae
Rfam family: tRNA
About the family: Transfer RNA (tRNA) molecules are approximately 80 nucleotides in length. Their secondary structure includes four short double-helical elements and three loops (D, anti-codon, and T loops).
Source: Rfam by way of RNAcentral
GCCGUGGUGGCUCAGUGGUUAAGUGCUUGCCUGCUAACCAAAAGGUUGGUGGUUCGAGCCCACCGGCU